Schistosoma mansoni is the source of this 45-nucleotide non-coding RNA. The record is from Rfam. NCBI's taxonomy places the organism in Eukaryota, Metazoa, Platyhelminthes, Trematoda, Strigeidida, Schistosomatidae.
AUCCAGCUGACAAGUCUCAAGUCGGACGAAACGCACGUCCUGGAU